This 253-nucleotide ribosomal RNA is filed under the name uncultured bacterium. Its description in RNAcentral is "partial 16S ribosomal RNA". It matches the Rfam family "Bacterial small subunit ribosomal RNA", at positions 524 to 776 of the family's 1533-position model. The record is from RNAcentral.
GACGUAGGGGGCCAGCGUUGUUCGGAAUUACUGGGCGUAAAGGGCUCGUAGGCGGCCAACUAAGUCAUGCGUGAAAUCCCUCGGCUUAACCGGGGAACUGCGUCUGAUACUGGAUGGCUUGAGUGUGGGAGAGGGAUGCGGAAUUCCAGGUGUAGCGGUGAAAUGCGUAGAUAUCUGGAGGAACACCGGUGGCGAAGGCGGCAUCCUGGACCAACACUGACACUGAGGAGCGAAAGCCAGGGGAGCAAACGGG